This 507-nucleotide ribosomal RNA is filed under the name Salmonella enterica subsp. enterica serovar Enteritidis. RNAcentral describes it as "partial 23S ribosomal RNA". It matches the Rfam family "Bacterial large subunit ribosomal RNA", at positions 765 to 1269 of the family's 2925-position model. Lineage: Bacteria; Pseudomonadati; Pseudomonadota; Gammaproteobacteria; Enterobacterales; Enterobacteriaceae. The record is from RNAcentral.
ACUGGAGGACCGAACCGACUAAUGUUGAAAAAUUAGCGGAUGACCUGUGGCUGGGGGUGAAAGGCCAAUCAAACCGGGAGAUAGCUGGUUCUCCCCGAAAGCUAUUUAGGUAGCGCCUCGUGAAUUCAUCUCCGGGGGUAGAGCACUGUUUCGGCUAGGGGGCCAUCCCGGCUUACCAACCCGAUGCAAACUGCGAAUACCGGAGAAUGUUAUCACGGGAGACACACGGCGGGUGCUAACGUCCGUCGUGAAGAGGGAAACAACCCAGACCGCCAGCUAAGGUCCCAAAGUCAUGGUUAAGUGGGAAACGAUGUGGGAAGGCCCAGACAGCCAGGAUGUUGGCUUAGAAGCAGCCAUCAUUUAAAGAAAGCGUAAUAGCUCACUGGUCGAGUCGGCCUGCGCGGAAGAUGUAACGGGGCUAAACCAUGCACCGAAGCUGCGGCAGCGACACUGUGUGUUGUUGGGUAGGGGAGCGUUCUGUAAGCCUGUGAAGGUGUGUCGUGAGGC